This 476-nucleotide ribosomal RNA is filed under the name Pseudomonas sp. MF39. RNAcentral's name for it is "bacterial SSU rRNA". It matches the Rfam family "Bacterial small subunit ribosomal RNA", at positions 33 to 505 of the family's 1533-position model. The record is from RNAcentral. Lineage: Bacteria; Pseudomonadati; Pseudomonadota; Gammaproteobacteria; Pseudomonadales; Pseudomonadaceae.
UACGCUGGCGGAGGCCUACACAUGCAAGUCGAGCGGAUGAGUGGAGCUUGCUCCAUGAUUCAGCGGCGGACGGGUGAGUAAUGCCUAGGAAUCUGCCCGGUAGUGGGGGAUAACGUCCGGAAACGGGCGCUAAUACCGCAUACGUCCUACGGGAGAAAGCAGGGGACCUUCGGGCCUUGCGCUAUCGGAUGAGCCUAGGUCGGAUUAGCUAGUUGGUGAGGUAAUGGCUCACCAAGGCGACGAUCCGUAACUGGUCUGAGAGGAUGAUCAGUCACACUGGAACUGAGACACGGUCCAGACUCCUACGGGAGGCAGCAGUGGGGAAUAUUGGACAAUGGGCGAAAGCCUGAUCCAGCCAUGCCGCGUGUGUGAAGAAGGUCUUCGGAUUGUAAAGCACUUUAAGUUGGGAGGAAGGGUUGUAGAUUAAUACUCUGCAAUUUUGACGUUACCGACAGAAUAAGCACCGGCUAACUUCG